RNAcentral lists this transfer RNA (71 nucleotides) under Eudromia elegans (elegant crested-tinamou). RNAcentral's name for it is "tRNA-Gln". It matches the Rfam family "tRNA". Rfam says of the family: Transfer RNA (tRNA) molecules are approximately 80 nucleotides in length. Lineage: Eukaryota; Metazoa; Chordata; Aves; Tinamiformes; Tinamidae. The record is from RNAcentral.
UAGGAAAUAAUAUAGAGGAAGUAUAAGGAGUUUUGAUCUCCUUUGUGUAGGUUCGAUUCCUACUUUUCUAA